CGUGUAGGUGGGGCUUUAAGUCGGUGGUGAAAUCCUGCAGCUUAACUGCAGAAUGGCCCUCGAUACUGAAGUCCUUGAGUGCGGCAGAGGGAGAUGGAAUUCAUGGUGUAGCGGUGAAAUGUGUAGAUAUCAUGAAGAACACCGGUAGCGAAGGCGGUCUCCUGGUCCGUAACUGACACUGAGGCGCGAAAGCGUGGGGAGCAAACAGGAUUAGAUACCCUGGUAGUCCACGCCUUAAACGAUGGGUACUCGGUGCUGGGCCGCAAGGUUCAGUGACCAAAGCUAACGCAUUAACGUACCCCACCGUGGGGAUACGAUCGCAAGGUUGAA
RNAcentral lists this ribosomal RNA (330 nucleotides) under uncultured bacterium. Its description in RNAcentral is "bacterial SSU rRNA". It matches the Rfam family "Bacterial small subunit ribosomal RNA", at positions 568 to 898 of the family's 1533-position model. The record is from RNAcentral.